UGGGGAAUAUUGGACAAUGGGCGCAAGCCUGAUCCAGCCAUGCCGCGUGAGUGAUGAAGGCCCUAGGGUUGUAAAGCUCUUUCACCGGUGAAGAUAAUGACGGUAACCGGAGAAGAAGCCCCGGCUAACUUCGUGCCAGCAGCCGCGGUAAUACGAAGGGGGCUAGCGUUGUUCGGAUUUACUGGGCGUAAAGCGCACGUAGGCGGACUUUUAAGUCAGGGGUGAAAUCCCGGGGCUCAACCCCGGAACUGCCUUUGAUACUGGAAGUCUUGAGUAUGGUAGAGGUGAGUGGAAUUCCGAGUGUAGAGGUGAAAUUCGUAGAUAUUCGGAGGAACACCAGUGGCGAAGGCGGCUCACUGGGCCAUUACUGACGCUGAGGUGCGAAAGCGUGGGGAGCAAACAAG
RNAcentral lists this ribosomal RNA (404 nucleotides) under Actinomycetes bacterium. Its description in RNAcentral is "Actinobacteria bacterium partial 16S ribosomal RNA". It matches the Rfam family "Bacterial small subunit ribosomal RNA", at positions 355 to 776 of the family's 1533-position model. Lineage: Bacteria; Bacillati; Actinomycetota; Actinomycetes. The record is from RNAcentral.